RNAcentral lists this ribosomal RNA (433 nucleotides) under uncultured bacterium. RNAcentral describes it as "partial 16S ribosomal RNA". It matches the Rfam family "Bacterial small subunit ribosomal RNA", at positions 29 to 507 of the family's 1533-position model. The record is from RNAcentral.
AACUAACGCUGGCGGCAGGCCUAACACAUGCAAGUCGAGCGCGCCCUUCGGGGUGAGCGGCGGACGGGUGAGUAACGCGUGGGAACGUGCCCUUCUCUGCGGAAUAUCCUCGCGAAACUGAGAUUAAUACCGCAUACGCCCUUUGGGGGAAAGAUUUAUCGGAGAAGGAUCUGCCCGCGUUGGAUUAGGUAGUUGGUGGGGUAAUGGCCCACCAAGCCGACGAUCCAUAGCUGGUUUGAGAGGAUGAUCAGCCACACUGGGACUGAGACACGGCACAGACUCCUACGGGAGGCAGCAGUGGGGAAUCGUAGACAAUGGGGGCAACCCUGAUCUAGACAUGCCGCGUGAGUGAUGAAGGCCUUAGGGUUGUAAAGCUCUUUCAGCUGGGAAGAUAAUGACGGUACCAGAAGAAGAAGCCACGGCUAACUCCGUG